This 541-nucleotide long non-coding RNA is filed under the name Pongo abelii (Sumatran orangutan). RNAcentral describes it as "lincRNA". Lineage: Eukaryota; Metazoa; Chordata; Mammalia; Primates; Hominidae. The record is from RNAcentral.
AAAACCCAGACUCCCAGGGUCAUCAACCUCCCCGGGUCACUAACCCUCCCCAGUGUCUGUCUACCCCUGAGUCCAGAGAACACGUCCUCUCUAGGCUCGAGCCGGAAUCAAUAUAGGCUACAGGAGCAUCAGUGCAGGCUGCGCGGAGGAGAGAAGGAGGUGCUCCGGAAUCAAUAUAGGCUACAGGAGCAUCAGUGCAGGCUGCGCGGAGGAGAGAAGGAGGUGCUGAUGUGGAGGAUCCAUGAGGUUCAUCUAUCUGUAGUGCUUCUGACCAGAGAAAAGGCCAAAGAGAGAAAACCCUGAGGAACAUCUUUGACUUGCAUAGAAACUUAUCUGAAGAUUUUCAGAAUCUGAGCCUCACCCUCAGUCUAUCCCAGUUUUAUCCUGACCUGUCCACAUCUGUUACACUCCAAGGCUUGCUGGGCCCAACACUGGAAGCUAUUUAAAGUUUCUACCGCGACUGGCCUUUUAAAGCCAGUGGGAUUCUCCAUGCUACACUUGAGCCUGGAGACUAGAAAAAAUGACAGCCUGUUUUCAUUAA